ACCUACGGGGGGCAGCAGUAGGGAAUUUUCGUCAAUGGGCGCGAGCCUGAACGAGCAAUGCCGCGUGAACGAGGAAGGUCUUCGGAUCGUAAAGUUCUGUUGAAGGGGAAAAAGAGCGGAGAGAGGAAAUGGUCUCCGAUUGAUAUUACCCUUCGAGGAAGUCACGGCUAACUACGUGCCAGCAGCCGCGGUAAUACGUAGGUGGCGAGCGUUAUCCGGAAUGAUUGGGCGUAAAGGGUGCGUAGGCGGCCUGCUAAGUCUGGAGUGAAAGGUACCGGCUCAACCGGUACAGGCUCUGGAAACUG
RNAcentral lists this ribosomal RNA (305 nucleotides) under uncultured bacterium. Its description in RNAcentral is "bacterial SSU rRNA". It matches the Rfam family "Bacterial small subunit ribosomal RNA", at positions 337 to 635 of the family's 1533-position model. The record is from RNAcentral.